RNAcentral lists this ribosomal RNA (641 nucleotides) under uncultured bacterium. RNAcentral describes it as "bacterial SSU rRNA". It matches the Rfam family "Bacterial small subunit ribosomal RNA", at positions 79 to 716 of the family's 1533-position model. The record is from RNAcentral.
CUUGCUUCUCUUGAGAGCGGCGGACGGGUGAGUAAUGCCUAGGAAUCUGCCUGGUAGUGGGGGAUAACGUCCGGAAACGGACGCUAAUACCGCAUACGUCCUACGGGAGAAAGCAGGGGACCUUCGGGCCUUGCGCUAUCAGAUGAGCCUAGGUCGGAUUAGCUAGUUGGUGGGGUAAUGGCUCACCAAGGCGACGAUCCGUAACUGGUCUGAGAGGAUGAUCAGUCACACUGGAACUGAGACACGGUCCAGACUCCUACGGGAGGCAGCAGUGGGGAAUAUUGGACAAUGGGCGAAAGCCUGAUCCAGCCAUGCCGCGUGUGUGAAGAAGGUCUUCGGAUUGUAAAGCACUUUAAGUUGGGAGGAAGGGCAGUAAAUUAAUACUUUGCUGUUUUGACGUUACCGACAGAAUAAGCACCGGCUAACUCUGUGCCAGCAGCCGCGGUAAUACAGAGGGUGCAAGCGUUAAUCGGAAUUACUGGGCGUAAAGCGCGCGUAGGUGGUUCGUUAAGUUGGAUGUGAAAUCCCCGGGCUCAACCUGGGAACUGCAUUCAAAACUGACGAGCUAGGGUAUGGUAGAGGGUGGUGGAAUUUCCUGUGUAGCGGUGAAAUGCGUAGAUAUAGGAAGGAACACCAGUGGC